Molecule: ribosomal RNA, 1134 nt
Filed under: Rhodotorula mucilaginosa
Lineage: Eukaryota; Fungi; Basidiomycota; Microbotryomycetes; Sporidiobolales; Sporidiobolaceae
Description: eukaryotic LSU rRNA
Rfam family: Eukaryotic large subunit ribosomal RNA (bases 535-1134)
Source: RNAcentral
CAUUAGUGAAUAUAGGACGUCCAACUUAACUUGGAGUCCGAACUCUCACUUUCUAACCCUGUGCACUUGUUUGGGAUAGUAACUCUCGCAAGAGAGCGAACUCCUAUUCACUUAUAAACACAAAGUCUAUGAAUGUAUUAAAUUUUAUAACAAAAUAAAACUUUCAACAACGGAUCUCUUGGCUCUCGCAUCGAUGAAGAACGCAGCGAAAUGCGAUAAGUAAUGUGAAUUGCAGAAUUCAGUGAAUCAUCGAAUCUUUGAACGCACCUUGCGCUCCAUGGUAUUCCGUGGAGCAUGCCUGUUUGAGUGUCAUGAAUACUUCAACCCUCCUCUUUCUUAAUGAUUGAAGAGGUGUUUGGUUUCUGAGCGCUGCUGGCCUUUACGGUCUAGCUCGUUCGUAAUGCAUUAGCAUCCGCAAUCGAACUUCGGAUUGACUUGGCGUAAUAGACUAUUCGCUGAGGAAUUCUAGUCUUCGGAUUAGAGCCGGGUUGGGUUAAAGGAAGCUUCUAAUCAGAAUGUCUACAUUUUAAGAUUAGAUCUCAAAUCAGGUAGGACUACCCGCUGAACUUAAGCAUAUCAAUAAGCGGAGGAAAAGAAACUAACAAGGAUUCCCCUAGUAGCGGCGAGCGAAGCGGGAAGAGCUCAAAUUUAUAAUCUGGCACCUUCGGUGUCCGAGUUGUAAUCUCUAGAAAUGUUUUCCGCGUUGGACCGCACACAAGUCUGUUGGAAUACAGCGGCAUAGUGGUGAGACCCCCGUAUAUGGUGCGGACGCCCAGCGCUUUGUGAUACAUUUUCGAAGAGUCGAGUUGUUUGGGAAUGCAGCUCAAAUUGGGUGGUAAAUUCCAUCUAAAGCUAAAUAUUGGCGAGAGACCGAUAGCGAACAAGUACCGUGAGGGAAAGAUGAAAAGCACUUUGGAAAGAGAGUUAACAGUACGUGAAAUUGUUGGAAGGGAAACGCUUGAAGUCAGACUUGCUUGCCGAGCAAUCGGUUUGCAGGCCAGCAUCAGUUUUCCGGGAUGGAUAAUGGUAGAGAGAAGGUAGCAGUUUCGGCUGUGUUAUAGCUCUCUGCUGGAUACAUCUUGGGGGACUGAGGAACGCAGUGUGCCUUUGGCGGGGGUUUCGACCUCUUCACAC